This 1098-nucleotide long non-coding RNA is filed under the name Ananas comosus (pineapple). RNAcentral describes it as "long non-coding RNA (ACOM_LNC039178)". Lineage: Eukaryota; Viridiplantae; Streptophyta; Magnoliopsida; Poales; Bromeliaceae. The record is from RNAcentral.
UCGUCUAGAAUUUCAGUGGAUUGAGUGAAGAGAGAAGAAAAGAUGGUAAUUGAUUUUUUUUUUUUUUUUUUCUUUUCUGUUUGUAAUCGGGCCAAAUGGACUGGAUGUGGUGGGUUGAGUAGAGUAAUCUUUUAUUUUUGGUUGGAUUGGGCUUUAUAUUUAGGCAUUAGUAGAUGUGUUUUUAAGUUUUAGUAUAAAUAGGACACUUACUCAAAAGUGUCUCAAACAUGUGUCCCUAUAACCUAAUUCUGUUGUAGUGACAAAAGCAAAACCAAAAGCACACCGACCGUCCUUAGAGCAAGUGACAAAAGCUUUGGUGGUUGGUACCCAAGACCCAAGUUCAAAUCCUAGUUGAUUCAUAUUUCUAGCUAAGUUUAUUUCUAAAUGAAAUAAACGAAGCAGGUAGCGUUGUACCUAUCUCUCCAAAAAAAAAAAAAACAAGAGAAAAAGCACACAAUAAAAUCCAAAACAGCCUCUACAAAAUUAACUUUUUUAAACAUAUGGUAAGAAAAGCUGACCAUCACUCAUUGUAUAUAUAUAUAUAUAUAUAUAACUGGGCUGGAAUACUAUUAAUAGCACCAAUGACUUGGUGCUAUUAAGUUUUCCGCCUUUGGAUUAGAAGAUGUGUGGUUAGGAUGAUAUGGGCCCCUAAGGGUUGAGUGGGUGGUUGGUUGAAUAGUAUAAUUUAAUAGAUAAAAAUAAUCAAAGGGGUUAAUCUAACGGCAGAAAAUUUGAUAGCACCAAGUGCUUGGUGCCAUCGAUAGCAUAGCAGCUGGUACUAUUGAAUUUUCUAUAUAUAUAUAUAUAUAGAUAUAUAUAUAUAUAUAGUCCGACUACUAUACUAUCCAUAGUACCAAACUCUAUAUAUAUAGUCCGGCUACUAUACUAUCCAUAGUACCAAACUCUUGGUACUAUUGAAUUUUCUACCGUUAAAUUUACCCUUUGAUAAUUUCCACCCGUUAGAUUAUACUAUUCAACCAACCACCCACUCAACACUAAAAAACUACUAUCCUUCUAACCGCACAUCGUUUCAUCCGACAGCCGAACACUCAAUAGUACUAAGCGUUUGAUACAAUUGAUGGUAUAGUAGCAUAUAUA